CCCCCCCCCCCCCCCCCACAUGCUCCUGUCUGGCUGAUUUACUUAUUUCCGAAAUUCCCUCCGACUGUGAAGGGAUGAUGACACGUACACGGGGAGAAUUUGGCCAAAUUGCCUUCAGCUUGGCCACAUCGCGGCCGUCUGAGCCGCCCGACUGCCACGCGAGGCCCGAAAACACAUGUUAUCUCUCGCUAAUCAAGAGCAAUGGCCUCAAUGUCGAGCCGCCGCACGGCUCUGACCUUUCCACAAUGCUAAUUAUUCUGGAUUUUCUCUCCUUUUCCUCGUGCUCCUUCCCCAGAAGAAGAAAGAAAUGUGAAGCGGCGCAGCGCCAGUCAAUUCCACGGAGGCCGAGUCGUACAUCAUCUUUUGAGUGUAUGGAUUUCUAAUAUCCCGCUACAGCAGUCGAGAUGAUGUAACAGAUAUGGACUCUGAGCACUUACCAAAUAGAUUCCUUAAGGAUAUUCAAAGUGGCUGCAGAGAGACGUUUGAUCAGACUAUUAAAAUGGAUCACCUCAUACACCUUGAAGUGUACUGUGAAAUAUCAAAAGCCCCGCUGGGGGUAAUUAAGGACAUUACGGCGUCCGUUGGUGACCAGUGGAAAGAAGAAUGAAAAACGACUGCUGUUUCUCCUGUUUACACACAAAUGAGUCAAAUCACAGCGACGGAGCUCACGAAAGACGUCUCGACCACUCGUUGGUCCAGGGUUCCCUGGUCCAUGGUUCACUGGUCCAUGGUUCACUGGUCCAUGGUUCACUGGUCCAGGGUUCCCUGGUCCUGUGGUUCCCUGGUCCUGUGGUUCACUGGUCCAUGGUUCACUGGUCCUGUGGUUCCCUGGUCCAUGGUUCACUGGUCCAUGGUUCACUGGUCCAUGGUUCACUGGUCCGUGGUUCACUGGUCCAUGGUUCACUGGUCCUGUGGUUCACUGGUCCAGGGUUCACUGGUCCAUGGUUCACUGGUCCAUAGAUCACUGGUCCAUGGUCCACUGGUCCAGGGUUCACUGGUCCAGGGUUCACUGGUCCUGUGGUUCACUGGUCCAGGGUUCACUGGUCCUGUGGUUCACUGGUCCAUAGAUCACUGGUCCAUGGUCCACUGGUCCAGGGUUCACUGGUCCAGGGUUCACUGGUCCAGGGUUCACUGGUCCUGUGGUUCACUGGUACAGGGUUCACUGGUCCAUGGUUCACUGGUCCAUAGAUCACUGGUCCAUGGUUCACUGGUCCAGGGUUCACUGGUCCAGGGUUCACUGGUCCUGUGGUUCACUGGUCCAGGGUUCACUGGUCCUGUGGUUCACUGGUCCAGGGUUCACUGGUCCAUGGUUCACUGGUCCAUAGAUCACUGGUCCAUGGUCCACUGGUCCAGGGUUCACUGGUCCAGGGUUCACUGGUCCUGUGGUUCACUGGUCCAGGGUUCACUGGUCCUGUGGUUCACUGGUCCAUAGAUCACUGGUCCAUGGUCCACUGGUCCAGGGUUCACUGGUCCAGGGUUCACUGGUCCAGGGUUCACUGGUCCAGGGUUCACUGGUCCUGUGGUUCACUGGUCCAGGGUUCACUGGUCCUGUGGUUCACUGGUCCUGUGGUUCAUUGGUCCUGUGGUUCACUGGUCAAAGCACAAUUAUUAUUACUAACUGACAAUCACACAUAAUGAAAAGUUGAGGCACAUUUUUCAAGCCAAUCGAACCCAAACGGUUCUUAACUUCCUGCUCAUCUACGGGGUAAAAACAGACUUUCCACACGAAGCAGAGACACUUAACCUGCAGACAGAAACAGGAGAGUAUUGAUCGUGACAGCUCCAUCACACUCACAUGCUCAGGGUGGGGGAGGGGGGAGGAGGCACCAC
This is a long non-coding RNA of Gasterosteus aculeatus aculeatus (three-spined stickleback), 1830 nucleotides long. The record is from Ensembl. Lineage: Eukaryota; Metazoa; Chordata; Actinopteri; Perciformes; Gasterosteidae.